This 259-nucleotide ribosomal RNA is filed under the name uncultured bacterium. Its description in RNAcentral is "partial 16S ribosomal RNA". It matches the Rfam family "Bacterial small subunit ribosomal RNA", at positions 1244 to 1500 of the family's 1533-position model. The record is from RNAcentral.
AAGAAGCGAACCUGCGAAGGCAAGCGGAUCUCUUAAAGCCGUUCUCAGUUCGGACUGUAGGCUGCAACUCGCCUACACGAAGCUGGAAUCGCUAGUAAUCGCGGAUCAGCACGCCGCGGUGAAUACGUUCCCGGGCCUUGUACACACCGCCCGUCACACCAUGAGAGUCUGUAACACCCAAAGCCGGUGGGAUAACCUUUAUAGGAGUCAGCCGUCUAAGGUAGGACAGAUGAUUAGGGUGAAGUCGUAACAAGGUACC